Molecule: long non-coding RNA, 2021 nt
Filed under: Jatropha curcas
Lineage: Eukaryota; Viridiplantae; Streptophyta; Magnoliopsida; Malpighiales; Euphorbiaceae
Description: long non-coding RNA (JCUR_LNC000682)
Source: RNAcentral
UGACUUCUCUGGGUAUUCCCAAUCGUAGCAUCUGAUGCAGUACACUUUUCCUACUACCUUCACUACCAAUUUAUGGUGAUGGGGGUGAGGGUGAGGGUGAGGGUAAGGAUGAGGAACCGGUGGUGGUGGAGAAGUAUAGUAGUAUGGUGGAGGAUAAGCCUUAGGUGGUGGUGGCGACUUGUAGUAGUAGGGAGCUGGAGUUGGUGAUUUUGUUGGUGGUGGUGGAGAUUUAUAGUAGUAUGGUGCUGGAUGAUAUGGUGAGGGUGGUGGUGGAGACUUGUAAUAGUAUGGUGCUGGAGUUGGUGAUUUUUCGGGUGGUGGAGGAGAUUUGUAGUGGUAUGGUGGAGGAGGAGAGGGUGAUGGUGGAGGUGGGGACUUAUAGUAGUAUGGCUCAGGUGCUGGUGAUUUUUCGGGUGGUGGAGGAGAUUUGUAGUAGUAUGGUGGAGGAGGAGAUGGUGAUGGUGGAGGUGGGGACUUAUAGUAGUAUGGCUCUGGUGCUGGUGAUUUUUUAGGUGGUGGGGGAGAUUGGUAGUAAUAUGGUGGUGGAGGAGAUGGUGAAGGUGGUGGUGGUGAUUUGUAAUAAUAAGGUGGUGGAGGUGAUGGUGAGGGAGGUGGUGGUGAUUUGUAGUAGUAUGGAGGAGGGGGAGAUGGAGAUGGAGGUGGUGGUGACUUGUAAUAGUAAGGUGGUGGUGGAGAAGGAGAGGGUGGUGGAGGAGACUUGUAUUCAUAGUGAGGCUUAGGAGAUGGUGGUGGUGGAGACUUGUAUUCAUAUGGUGGUGGUGGUGAUGGGGAAGGUGGUGGUGGUGACUUGUACUCAUAAUGAGGCUUAGGAGAUGGUGGUGGUGGUGACUUGUAUUCAUAAUGAGGUUUGGGAGAUGGAGGUGGUGGUGACUUGUCUUCAUAAGGUGGUGGUGGAGACGGAGAUGGUGGUGGGGGAGACUUGUAUUCAUAAGGGGGUGGUGGAGAUGGAGAUGGUGGGGGGGGGGACUUGUAUUCAUAAUGAGGCUUGGGAGAUGGAGGCGGUGGGGACUUGUAUUCAUAAGGCGGUGGUGGAGAUGGAGAUGGUGGGGGGGGGGACUUGUAUUCAUAAUGAGGCUUGGGAGAUGGAGGCGGUGGGGACUUGUAUUCAUAAGGCGGUGGUGGAGAUGGAGAUGGUGGGGGGGGGGACUUGUAUUCAUAAUGAGGCUUGGGAGAUGGAGGCGGUGGGGACUUGUAUUCAUAAGGUGGUGGUGGAGAUGGAGAAGGUGGUGGGGGAGACUUGUACUCAUAAUGAGGCUUGGGAGAUGGAGGCGGUGGGGACUUGUAUUCAUAAGGUGGUGGGGGAGAUGGAGAAGGUGGUGGGGGCGACUUGUACUCAUAAUGAGGUUUAGGAGAUGGAGGUGGUGGUGACUUAUAUUCAUAAGGUGGGGGUGGGGAUGGAGAAGGUGGGGGGGGAGACUUGUACUCAUAAUGAGGUUUAGGAGAUGGAGGUGGUGGUGACUUAUACUCAUAAGGUGGUGGAGGAGAAGGAGAUGGUGGUGGUGGUGACUUAUAUUCAUAAGGUGGUGGUGGGGAUGGAGAAGGUGGUGGGGGAGACUUGUACUCAUAAUGAGGUUUAGGAGAUGGAGGUGGUGGUGACUUAUACUCAUAAGGUGGGGGAGGAGAAGGAGAUGGUGGUGGUGGUGACUUAUAUUCAUAAGGUGGUGGUGGGGAUGGAGAUGGAGGUGGAGGAGACUUGUACUCGUAAUGAGGUUUAGGAGAUGGUGGUGGGGGUGACUUGUACUCAUAAGGAGGUGGUGGAGAAGGAGAAGGUGGAGGUGGUGACUUAUAUUCAUAAUGAGGUUUAGGUGAUGGUGGAGGUGGUGAUUUAUACUCAUAAGGAGGUGGUGGAGAAGGAGAAGGUGGAGGUGGAGAAUAGUAAGGAUAAGCAUCUCCUGAUACUGAACUUACACUACUUGAAACAAAAACUACAGCCAACGCUAUGGCCAAGUGAGGCCAAAGACGACCCCACCCGGGGCCGCCGCCGGAACUUCUCAUUUCUU